UAGGGAAUCUUCGGCAAUGGGGGCAACCCUGACCGAGCAACGCCGCGUGAGUGAAGAAGGUUUUCGGAUCGUAAAGCUCUGUUGUAAGAGAAGAACGUGUGUGAGAGUGGAAAGUUCACACAGUGACGGUAACUUACCAGAAAGGGACGGCUAACUACGUGCCAGCAGCCGCGGUAAUACGUAGGUCCCGAGCGUUGUCCGGAUUUAUUGGGCGUAAAGCGAGCGCAGGCGGUUUAAUAAGUCUGAAGUUAAAGGCAGUGGCUUAACCAUUGUUCGCUUUGGAAACUGUUAAACUUGAGUGCAGAAGGGGAGAGUGGAAAUCCAUGUGUAGCGGUGAAAUGCGUAGAUAUAUGGAGGAACACCGGUGGCGAAAGCGGCUCUCUGGUCUGUAACUGACGCUGAGGCUCGAAAGCGUGGGGAGCAAACAGG
Molecule: ribosomal RNA, 429 nt
Filed under: bacterium
Lineage: Bacteria
Description: partial 16S ribosomal RNA
Rfam family: Bacterial small subunit ribosomal RNA
Source: RNAcentral